CAUUUAGUACCCAUUACUUUCAAAUAGAAUCAUAUUUUUGUUAAAUCACUUUUAAAAGGUGUUUGAAGAGUUAAUACUUUCGAUCUGCUACGUUAGUUUAUCACUUUGUAAGCAGCGCGAUUAUUCCGUUAGUAGUUAUUCAUAGUUCCAAACAUUAAUUUGUAUCAGUGAUACAAUGUAUUAAUUAGUAGCACGUAGAACGUGUUGUAAUAAGUCACAUAUUAAAAAAAUUUUGUAGAAAUAAUUCUUUUCUUGUAUGAUUUUAACGGUACAACAAAAAGAGUAUUAUAAAGGUUAGAUAUAUCGAAGAAGUGCCGUCGAGGUAAAAUUCAAUGCAAGUGCAAUAAAACAGUUAUCAAGUUUACUUGCAGGUAAUAAAAGUUAACGCAAAAUGGAGAGUAGUAAAGUGGAUGAGGAAAAUCAACGUAGUAUUAAUGAUGGAGAUUGGAUUUGUCCUGAUUCUCAAUGUGCCAAUGUAAAUUUUGCAAGACGAAAUUCUUGUAAUCGAUGCGGAAAAGACAGAGGAGAAUGCCCAAAGAAAAAAAAGUUGGGACAAGAAAUUGGGAAAGCAGCUGCUGAGAAAAGUAGAGGACUAUUCAGUGCUGAUGAUUGGCAAUGCAGUAAAUGUGGAAAUGUAAAUUGGGCGCGACGGCAGCAGUGCAACAUGUGUAAUGCACCAAAAUUUGGAGAAAUUGAAGAACGUACAGGGUAUGGUGGGGGGUAUAAUGACCGAGGAGUUGUUGAAUAUAAAGAAAGAAGAGAUGACGAUGACGAAUAUGACGAAUUUGGACGGCGUAGGAAGAAACGGAGGAUUGAGAAUCGUUCAGACGAUGAUUCCAAAGAUUCUAGGUAUAGCAGUCCACCCCGUAACAAAUCUAAAGAUGAGGACGAAAGAAAUGAAGUACAGAAUGAUGAAGACCAAAAUGAAGAAAACGAUGAAGAUGAAGAGGAAGAAGAUGAUGAAGAGGACGGUGAUCUGUCCAAAUAUGAUCUUAGUGAAUGGGAUGAUUUUGCAGUUAAAAAAAAUACAAAUGGGAGCACUGCUUCUUCGGAAGAGCAACAAUCAAGAGACAGAGAUGACUGGCGUGAUUCGGGAACAUCCAGUCAAUGAGAAUCUGCACAGAAGGAAAGGUUUGACUUGGGUUUCGGGUAUAAAAUUGAUUAUGACAGUGAAAUAUGAUUUUAAUUAUUUUAAAUUGUUGUUACUUUUCGCUGUAUCCCUUUAAAAAGUGUAUUAUCAUAUUCUAUCAUAGUUUAGUAGAUGUUAGAUUAUAACAUGGUCAAAAAGGAAGAUGUAGUGUUAAGCAAAUCUAAAGAAAUUACAAUAUAAUGCUUGUUAAAUAAAUGGCUUUUUACAGGUGAGAGAAAAUCCCGAGAGCGACAUUUGCUCGACAAUUAAGAGAUACACAACGCAACAAAUUUAGUGAUUUAGUGAGCACCUUUGGAUAAAGUGAUGAACAAUGUACGACUUAUUGCAAAGGGAAUCGAUUAACGAUAAGCUUUACAUUUUGUGACUGAACUCAUAGCUUUGUUGGCUGUAUGGAUGGAGAGUGAAAUAUAUGUAUUGAUGUCUUCGGAAUGAAGAGAAAAAGGAUACAUUUUCUUGCUUUGACUAUCACAGAUCCGAGUAAGCUGGAAGCAGCCUGCUUUAAUUGAAAUCAUGACAUGAAGUUACUAUGUCUAAAGCCCGUACGUUUAUCGACAGGC
RNAcentral lists this unclassified non-coding RNA (1707 nucleotides) under Megachile rotundata (alfalfa leafcutting bee). RNAcentral describes it as "zinc finger Ran-binding domain-containing protein 2, transcript variant X2". The record is from RNAcentral. Lineage: Eukaryota; Metazoa; Arthropoda; Insecta; Hymenoptera; Megachilidae.